UACGUAGGCAGCGAGCGUUGUUCGGAGUUACUGGGCGUAAAGCGUGCGUAGGCGGUGGUCCAAGUCUGGUGUGAAAUCUCCCGGCUCAACUGGGAGGGUGCGCCGGAAACUGGGCCGCUGGAGUAUGGGAGAGGCAAGCGGAAUUCCAGGUGUAGCGGUGAAAUGCGUAGAUAUCUGGAGGAACACCCGUGGUGCAGACGGCUUGCUGGACCAUCACUGACGCUGAGGCACGAAAGCGUGGGUAGCAAAC
This 250-nucleotide ribosomal RNA is filed under the name uncultured bacterium. Its description in RNAcentral is "partial 16S ribosomal RNA". It matches the Rfam family "Bacterial small subunit ribosomal RNA", at positions 524 to 773 of the family's 1533-position model. The record is from RNAcentral.